Molecule: ribosomal RNA, 423 nt
Filed under: uncultured bacterium
Lineage: Bacteria
Description: bacterial SSU rRNA
Rfam family: Bacterial small subunit ribosomal RNA
Source: RNAcentral
GGAAUUUUGGGCAGUGGGCGCAAGCCUGACCCAGCCAUGCCGCGUGUGUGAAGAAGGCCUUCGGGUUGUAAAGCACUUUCAGUGGUGAAGAAAAGCCUGGGGCUAAUACCCUCGGGUCAUGACGUUAACCACAGAAGCAGCACCGGCUAACUCCGUGCAAGCAGCCGCGGUCAUACGGAGGGUGCGAACGUUAAUCGGAAUUACUGGGCGUAAAGCGCGCGUAGGCGGUUCGAUAAGUGGGAUGUGAAAGCCCUGGGCUCAACCUGGGAACUGCAUUGCAAACUGUCGAGCUAGAGUAUGGUAGAGGGAGGUAGAAUUUCCUGUGUAGCGGUGAAAUGCGUAGAUAUAGGAAGGAAUACCAGUGGCGAAGGCGGCCUCCUGGACCAAUACUGACGCUGAGGUGCGAAAGCGUGGGGAGCAAAC